AAACAGCCCCCUAUGUUUUGAUUAUUUGGCAGUUUUGGACCCCCAAGGUAAAAAAAAUAAAAAAUAUUGACACGUGGCACCUCACUUAGGGUGCCACGUCAGCGUUGACCGAGUCAACAAUGGAGUGGGGGUUCAAAACUGCCAAAGAAUCAAAACAUAGGGGGCUGUUU
Medicago truncatula (barrel medic) is the source of this 170-nucleotide microRNA precursor. It matches the Rfam family "MIR2619 microRNA precursor family". NCBI's taxonomy places the organism in Eukaryota, Viridiplantae, Streptophyta, Magnoliopsida, Fabales, Fabaceae. The record is from Rfam.